This 240-nucleotide ribosomal RNA is filed under the name uncultured bacterium. RNAcentral describes it as "partial 16S ribosomal RNA". It matches the Rfam family "Bacterial small subunit ribosomal RNA", at positions 524 to 763 of the family's 1533-position model. The record is from RNAcentral.
UACGUAGGGUGCGAGCGUUAAUCGGAAUUACUGGGCGUAAAGGGUGCGCAGGCGGUUGAGUAAGACAGAUGUGAAAUCCCCGAGCUUAACUCGGGAAUGGCAUAUGUGACUGCUCGACUAGAGUGUGUCAGAGGGAGGUGGAAUUCCACGUGUAGCAGUGAAAUGCGUAGAUAUGUGGAAGAACACCGAUGGCGAAGGCAGCCUCCUGGGACAUAACUGACGCUCAGGCACGAAAGCGUG